This 322-nucleotide ribosomal RNA is filed under the name uncultured eukaryote. RNAcentral's name for it is "partial 18S ribosomal RNA". It matches the Rfam family "Eukaryotic small subunit ribosomal RNA", at positions 1470 to 1796 of the family's 1831-position model. The record is from RNAcentral.
CCCUUAGAUGUUCUGGGCCGCACGCGUGCUACACUGAGUGGAUCAGCGGGUCAGGUUGCGCGAAAGUGUUUCCUAAUCUUGAAAUCCGCUCGUGAUGGGGAUUGACGGUUGCAAUUUUCCGUCAUGAACGAGGAAUACCUUGUAAGCGCGGGUCAUCAUCCCGCGCUGAAUACGUCCCUGCCCUUUGUACACACCGCCCGUCGCGCCUACCGAUUGAGUGGUCCGGUGAGGCUUUGGGAUCUGAGCGGAAAGAGCGUUUCGCUGUUUCUGCUCGGAAAACUCAGUCGAACCUUAUCAUUUAGAGGAAGGAGAAGUCGUAACA